This 497-nucleotide ribosomal RNA is filed under the name uncultured bacterium. RNAcentral's name for it is "partial 16S ribosomal RNA". It matches the Rfam family "Bacterial small subunit ribosomal RNA", at positions 28 to 507 of the family's 1533-position model. The record is from RNAcentral.
GAUGAACGCUGGCGGCGUGCCUAAUACAUGCAAGUCGAGCGAACGGACGAGAAGCUUGCUUUUCUGAUGUUAGCGGCGGACGGGUGAGUAACACGUGGAUAACCUACCUAUAAGACUGGGAUAACUUCGGGAAACCGGAGCUAAUACCGGAUAAUAUUUUGAACCGCAUGGUUCAAAAGUGAAAGACGGUCUUGCUGUCACUUAUAGAUGGAUCCGCGCUGCAUUAGCUAGUUGGUAAGGUAACGGCUUACCAAGGCAACGAUGCAUAGCCGACCUGAUAGGGGGAUCGGCCACCCUGGAACGGAGACGCGGUCCAGACUCCUACGGGAGGCAGCAGUAGGGAAUCUUCCGCAAUGGGCGAAAGCCUGACGGAGCAACGCCGCGCGAGUGAUGAAGGUCUUCGGAUCGUAAAACUCUGUUAUUAGGGAAGAACAGAUGUGUAAGUAACUGUGCACAUCUUGACGGUACCUAAUCAGAAAGCCACGGCUAACUACGUG